AGCACAAACGGUACUCACUGAAUGAUAAUACACACACUUUAAUAUUGUUAUAAUAAAAGGUGAAUGGUAUGCCGAAGUGCAAGCGGUGCUCACACAGGGUUGUGAAUGGUAUGCCGAAGCACAAGCGGUGCUCACCUAAUGAUAAUUAGUAUAUAGUGGCUGGUAUGCCGAAGUGCAAGCGGUGCUCACACUGGGUUGUGAAUGGUAUGCCGAAGCACAAGCGGUACCCACUAUACUAUUUAUCUGAUAAAGAAUUCUGAGGAACAAUGAACAUACAGUGUAGCCGACCAAAAAUUCACCUAGCAACGUUGCAGCGUAGCAGACCAGCGUCAGACCAGCAUUAAGUACAUCAAUACGAACAGCCGGAAUAUGGUUUACUAAUUACUUAUAGUCUCUUUGAGUUUUGUUUUAAUUAUGAUUGCUAAGUGCAUUUAAUAUCACCGCAUAGAUAUAAUAACUUUAUUAAUUUUGCUAAUUCAUUCAGUUUGUUAACAUAAAUUUAGAACUUGUUAGUUAGCGUUCGAAUGGCCGACAGGGAAUGGGGACAUUCCCAAUAACAGGACGGCCGACUGUUAGCGUUUAAAUUUACCAAUGCUAUUCUUUACUAAUAUCAAGCUACUUAUUUCAUCAUAGGUCCGGCCGGAUUACUAGAUGUAGCUAGGAGUUGUUCUUUAGUUCAUUUAGUUUCUAUAUUGUCUGUGAUUCGCAUUGACUGGCCGGUCACUGGAUUCAUGCGGAUUCAUUCAAUUCAAGAUGGCAGAAAAAACAAGAAUAACUUUUAAAAGACUUCUGUUUGUUAUUAGAUUCCUUUUUGAAUAGUUUGUGUUCCUUAUAAAAGUAUUUUACUUCAAA
Molecule: long non-coding RNA, 852 nt
Organism: Plutella xylostella (diamondback moth)
Lineage: Eukaryota; Metazoa; Arthropoda; Insecta; Lepidoptera; Plutellidae
Source: RefSeq, a predicted model, not a curated record